GGGGAGGCGGCCUCCACAACUUAAUAUAUUUACAUGUCGGUAUCUAUAGAUAAAAGCAGUCUACAGAUAAAGGAUAAUUACCCCCGGUAUAUUAAAUGGACCAUUACACUACCGGUAUCAUUAAUAUAGCGUUUUCGGAAGAGGUUCCCCCUUGCUUUAGUUAAAUUACACGGUAUUAUGACCUUAUUGGCGGCGCAAAAGGGUUAACUAUAGGCUCGGCUGACACACACG
This is a non-coding RNA of Biomphalaria pfeifferi, 231 nucleotides long. The record is from the annotation of a GenBank genome assembly. Lineage: Eukaryota; Metazoa; Mollusca; Gastropoda; Planorbidae.